CGGAAAGCACAGUUGAGACCCGGGAAAAGGAAAGGUGGAGGGACAGGUGUGUCUUGGGAUAUAUCUAGAAGAUGUGAUUUCUUCACUGACUUCUCCGAGUUUUAAAUGGAAAGACUCCAGCCGAUCCUCAGUCAUGUGAUUGGAGGUUUUUUGAAUGAUACUGCUUCUUUUUCUAUCUUGUUUGAUUUUCUCCCGCUUGACCUUUUCCUGGUUAAAAAUCUGGGGGAAAAUGACGGACUCUAAGCAAGUCACCAAGAGUAAAUCAGAAGGGAGCUGUAUCCCAAGCCGGGAGCCCUUUCCAGCCUCAGACAGCUCAGGGGAGCCACCCCAGAAAAUCGAGGACCGCAGCCCUCCACCAGAGACUCCUGACCAGGCUGAGCCAGCCUCCCACAAAGGUCCCAAAGAUGCCUGUCGGCAAAGAACUUCCAGGCCACCCCCACACCAGAACCCCCCAGGAAACCCCUGUUCCUCGGAUAGCACCCCCGCAGCUCUCCAAGCCAAUGGGACAGGGACCAAAGGCCUGAAGACCCCGGAUACCAAUGGCCUGUCAUCUCCAGCCAAGCCCCAGGGCCAGCGAGCCAGACCCCUCUCCAAAGAAGACGAAAAGCAGGAGCACAUCAAGAGGCAGCUGAUGACCAACUUCAUCCUGGGCUCCUUUGAUGACAACUCCUCAGAUGAGGACCCUGGCGCUGGCUUGUUCCGAGAGUCUUCCUGGAAGGACAGCCGGGCCAGCCUGGGGACCCUGUCCCUGGAGGCUGCUCAGACUGUAGGCGAGUUCGAGAACCCAGUCCCUGCUAUGA
Molecule: non-coding RNA, 800 nt
Organism: Leptonychotes weddellii (Weddell seal)
Lineage: Eukaryota; Metazoa; Chordata; Mammalia; Carnivora; Phocidae
Source: RefSeq, a predicted model, not a curated record